RNAcentral lists this transfer RNA (62 nucleotides) under Scolytinae sp. BMNH 1043123. RNAcentral describes it as "tRNA-Cys". The record is from RNAcentral. Lineage: Eukaryota; Metazoa; Arthropoda; Insecta; Coleoptera; Curculionidae.
AAUUAUAUAGUCAAUAAUGAUUUAAAAUUGCAAGUUUUAAGGUAUCUUUAGGUUUAUAAUUU